UCCCGCCCUUCCUCAAUUUCAGCGUCCCAUUCAUACAUGACCCCAUUUUUGUCCUUUCACAUCCUCCUGGAUAAUCCAAAUCAAUUUGGGUCAUACCCGACUUGAUUGGAGUCAUAUUUGUUGCUCAUCCAGGAUAACCCGUUUCUAUCUGGGUUUCUAAACUGAUUUCUCUCCACCAUCUACAAUGUCAGUUAUAUAUCUCUUCCUAUAAUCUAGCAUGAAUCGUGUUUCUACUCCGCCAUUACGGAUAACAGUUUAUUUUUUAAAAUUUUGAAUCAUGUCACAGUAUUUUAUCUUCCAUUUCAAGAUCACUUUUAAUCUUUCUUGCUUAAUGGAUCAGACAUGUUUCAUCGGACGGCAAGACGAAUGCAUUUUCUCCUUUAUCCACUAUCUCCCUCUUCUCAGAUUAAUAAGUAAAUGUCGAAGCUCGGUUUAGUGCUCCCAUUCUGUCCAACAAACUCAACACUCGGCAGCAACUACCCAAAAAAAAUAUUCAUCCCGACAUUGAGCAAUGAGCUAAAAAUAAUGUUGGUGCUGAAUAUCAUACCGGGACUUUCUUGGUUUCAGAAAGUGGUGCUCAUAUGUGUGUGUUGUAUAUGUUGUUCUAAUCAUUGUUCUUUACAAAUGUUGUAGAUACAAAACUCUAACACAUCCCGGGCAAUUCGAUUAAACACCAUACUGUAUUACUUGAUCAGUUGUUGAUCUCUUUUACACAUAGCAAUUGAUUUGUCGAUCAAAAAGGUAAUUAUAUGACUCAGUUGCCAUGUUUUGUAGGUCUGAAAAGAACUCCACUUGAUCCUGUUUCUCUGUCUUCCUACAAACAUGGCAGCUGAUCAUAAAGUCAAACCCACGCAAAGUCAUCAAGCCUGAGUCUAGACGAUAAAUGAUGAGGGAAUGCCACAUCACUAGAGGCCUUUUAUCAAGGGAAGGCUCUUCAUCCAUUUUAAUGUGGAAUUUCCAAAGUCUGGAUUCCUCUCACCUGAGAAGUGCAAAAGUUUGGAGACCGUUUUGCCUGUAGCCGCAUCAAGCACUCUUCUGAUAUUGAUAUGUAAGAUUGCAAAGAAACUACCAUGCAUGAUGUUAAUAUGAAAGAAGAGUUGAGGCUCAAGGAACAUCAAAGAAAGCAAGAAGCUUAUGAUGAAGAUGAGGCAGGAGGUAUGCCAAGGGCAUCUGGCAUGUAACCAGCACUAUGCCAAUGCAACUGUCUUGGUCAUAAGAAUGACCAGAUUUUGCAUAAAAAGGUUGUAGGUAUCUCAGAUCUGCAAUUUUAUAUUGUUGUUAUGAA
Molecule: long non-coding RNA, 1285 nt
Organism: Daucus carota subsp. sativus
Lineage: Eukaryota; Viridiplantae; Streptophyta; Magnoliopsida; Apiales; Apiaceae
Exons: 5
Source: RefSeq, a predicted model, not a curated record